CCACUGUCUAUAUGGUGCAUUCACUCUAAUACUCUGAGAGCACAUCCAUUGGAGUGGUCCUACUAGCUAGCACGGUGCACUGGACACAAUGGACCAACACUCUAACUCAGGGGAAAGGGACACCUCAACGAAUUGUGUGACUCUGGUGUCACUCCAGUGUCUAGUACCGUUUCAGCUCAGGUGGCUUUGCUGCAUGUCGUCUUUGUGGUCAGAGCCAGUAAUGGACGCAAGCUAUAGCUCUGAAGAGACUGGCAGUCAACAAUGAUGCUGACGUCUACCUCAUCAAACAAGAGAUUGCUGUCACCAAGGCUCUGUCUGAUUGCUCGUAUUCUGUGACAUACAUUUCAUCCAUUACUAAGCAGAUAUCCAGUGAUGUACACGAGGUCCUCAUACUAAUGGAGUUAUAUACAUGCACCAGUGAAAUCUCUCUCAGUCCUCGAUCACCAAGAAUGCUGGUUUGCAGAAGAAGUCAGCGAAGGAGAUGAUGUGUUCCUCCUUGCCCUGUCCUUUGCCUCUGAUCGAGAGUUGAGGGACAAGAGCCUUUCCUUCGAGUGGAGCAAGAGAAGACCCAGAGUUAGAGGGACUGAAAAUGAAUUGGAAUUCAAGGCCUCGUCAAAGGAUCACUUCAAAGGCUUUACCUCCAGCUCUGAAACUGAGACUCUGACGUCAAUGGCCUGAAAUAUUCUCAGAUCCAGUUAAUUCCAGAAGCUCAGUUCCUUUGAAGUUUGAAGGGAUCAGGUGCCGGAUAUGCCACCUGACCCGUUUGAAGAAGAAGCUCAGUGUCUUGCUGGAAGAGGUGAGUUUCUUUGCUUGCUUGUAGCUUGCAUGUUUGCAGGAAUGUUAGGCUAGGAAGCCUUGUGGAGCAUUGUAGUUGUUUAU
Molecule: long non-coding RNA, 879 nt
Organism: Halichondria panicea
Lineage: Eukaryota; Metazoa; Porifera; Demospongiae; Suberitida; Halichondriidae
Exons: 4
Source: RefSeq, a predicted model, not a curated record